RNA transcript from Zalophus californianus (California sea lion), 1175 nucleotides. It is a transcript of the gene named inhibitor of growth protein 1-like, with no coding region annotated. Lineage: Eukaryota; Metazoa; Chordata; Mammalia; Carnivora; Otariidae. The transcript has a single exon. The record is from RefSeq and is a predicted model, not a curated record.
ACACUGAGUAAGGGCCGACGUGCGAGGGGCGGCGCGGCCGGGUGUAGUUCGCAGAGGGCGAGGGCUUUAUUCUGUGCGUGCGGUGGAGAAGGGGAGGGGAUGGAAGGGAGGAUGGGUCGAGGAAGUCGCCCAUCUGCUGUGCUCGGGGGGCGCGGGCAAAGCUUGUCGGCUUGCAGAGGAACAUGGCAGGGAAGAGGACCUGUGGGUCGUUCUUUGCAGCCCCAGCUGCCCAGAGUUCCGGAGAGAGGCGGAGGGUUCGUAUCCGCUGGGAAUUGUUGGCUGGGGGAAACUUUCCUGCCAGGUCAGGCAUGCCAUUGGGGUCUGUGUAUGGGACGCGGAUCGUCACUCGGAGUUUACUAAUGUUUACAGGGCUGCGCAGCAGGGAAACGGAAGCGUGGGGGGAGGAGGGAAGCGACCGCACGUCCCGAGCACGCACGGAGACCCCGGAGUUAUGGCGCCCCUGCGCGCUCUAACCGAGCCUGGGCUUCGCAGCGACUUUUAUAGGGGCCUUAUUAGCAUAUUGUGAACGUCCCGCUUUGGCUUCCUUGUGAUUGGUCUUGGCGUCCCCCAUGGAAUGUCCUUAUCAGUCCGCCGCUGAGCUAUUGGUUGCUGAGCCGGAUGAGGGUGGGCAUUGCGCAGUGACUGGCACGGGUCUCUGUUUCCGCUGCCUUCUUUUUUCUUCAGAGGGGCGGGGAGGAGGAGGAGGUCGAGUUGAUUUGAAUGUCUUUGGGUCGCCUGGCCUCCGGCCUCGGAUUGGCCAUUGGCGCUGCGGGGGCGGGCCUUAUUCGUUGGUUCUGUGCCGUGAUUGGCGCCCCUCUUGGCCUCCGCCCUACGGCCUGGCGAGCCCCACAGGCGGUGGCUCGCGGGGCGGGGCGGGACGCCCCCUGGGCGCCUCUGCAUUGGCUGAGGGCCCGGCCCCGCCCCUGUCCCUCAGGGGCCCGGGCCUGGUCACUUCCGGCCGCGGAGCAAUGGCGGCCCUCGGGGGUCGGGGCGAGGCUGGCCUGCCUUGGUUCCGGGGCUGCAGAGGAUGCCGCUCAGGCCUCCUGCUCAGGCCCCAAGGACUCGCGGGCAGGCCCGCCAGUGGCCCCGGGCCGCCCCUCCGGCGACCCGCGGAUGCGGCCGCGCGGAGCGGGGAAGCGUGAGUGGCCCGGGACCGGUGCCCGGCGAGGACGAGC